CAGCCGCCGCGGGAAUACGUAGGGUGCAAGCGUUAAUCGGAAUUACUGGGCGUAAAGCGUGCGCAGGCGGUUAUAUAAGACAGAUGUGAAAUCCCCGGGCUCAACCUAGGAACUGCAUUUGUGACUGUAUAGCUAGAGUACGGCAGAGGGGGAUGGAAUUCCGCGUGUAGCAGUGAAAUGCGUAGAUAUGCGGAGGAACACCGAUGGCGAAGGCAAUCCCCUGGGCCUGUACUGACGCUCAUGCACGAAAGCGUGGGGAGCAAACAGGAUUAGAUACCCGUGUAGUCCCUGUCUCUUAUAA
Molecule: ribosomal RNA, 301 nt
Filed under: uncultured bacterium
Lineage: Bacteria
Description: partial 16S ribosomal RNA
Rfam family: Bacterial small subunit ribosomal RNA
Source: RNAcentral